UGGAGUGAUUUGUCUGCCUAAUCGCGAUAACGAACGAGACCUUAACCUGCUAAAUAGCCCGCGCUGCUUUGGCAGCGUGCUGGCUUCUUAGAGGGACUAUCGGCUCAAGCCGAUGGAAGUUUGAGGCAA
RNAcentral lists this ribosomal RNA (129 nucleotides) under Ice core clone 129-6. RNAcentral's name for it is "partial 18S ribosomal RNA". It matches the Rfam family "Eukaryotic small subunit ribosomal RNA", at positions 1302 to 1453 of the family's 1831-position model. The record is from RNAcentral. RNAcentral also lists the same sequence under 1 other name.